This 460-nucleotide ribosomal RNA is filed under the name uncultured bacterium. Its description in RNAcentral is "partial 16S ribosomal RNA". It matches the Rfam family "Bacterial small subunit ribosomal RNA", at positions 338 to 795 of the family's 1533-position model. The record is from RNAcentral.
CCUACGGGUGGCAGCAGUGAGGAAUAUUGGUCAAUGGACGCGAGUCUGAACCAGCCAUGCCGCGUGCAGGACGACGGCUCUAUGGGUUGUAAACUGCUUUUGUAAGGGGGUAAACGCAGAUACGCGUAUCUGUCUGAAAGUAUCUUACGAAUAAGGAUCGGCUAACUCCGUGCCAGCAGCCGCGGUAAUACGGAGGAUUCAAGCGUUAUCCGGAUUUAUUGGGUUUAAAGGGUGCGUAGGUGGUCGGAUAAGUUAGAGGUGAAAUCCCGAGGCUCAACUUCGGAAUUGCCUUUGAUACUGGUAGGCUAGAGAACAGUUGAGGUAGGCGGAAUGCAUGGUGUAGCGGUGAAAUGCUUAGAGAUCACAAAGAACACCGAUUGCGAAGGCAGCUUACCAAGCUACUUCUGACGUUGAGGCACGAAAGCGUGGGGAGCAAACAGGAUUAGAUACCCUGGUAGUC